Molecule: ribosomal RNA, 253 nt
Filed under: uncultured bacterium
Lineage: Bacteria
Description: partial 16S ribosomal RNA
Rfam family: Bacterial small subunit ribosomal RNA
Source: RNAcentral
UACGGAGGAUGCAAGCGUUAUCCGGAUUCAUUGGGUUUAAAGGGUGCGUAGGCGGUCUUUUAAGUCAGUGGUGAAAUCCUGCGGCUCAACCGUAGAACUGCCAUUGAAACUGAAAGACUUGAGUACACUGGAGGUAAGCGGAAUGUGUAGUGUAGCGGUGAAAUGCUUAGAUAUUACACAGAACACCGAUUGCGAAGGCAGCUUACUAUAGUGUCACUGACGCUGAGGUACGAAAGCGUGGGGAGCGAACAGG